This 423-nucleotide ribosomal RNA is filed under the name uncultured bacterium. RNAcentral's name for it is "bacterial SSU rRNA". It matches the Rfam family "Bacterial small subunit ribosomal RNA", at positions 207 to 622 of the family's 1533-position model. The record is from RNAcentral.
AAGACCUUGCACUUUUGGAGCGGCCGAUGUCUGAUUAGCUAGUUGGUGGGGUAAAGGCCUACCAAAGCUUCGAUCAGUAGCUGGUCUGAGAGGACGGCCAGCCACACUGGGACUGAGACACGGCCCAGACUCCUACGGGAGGCAGCAGUGGGGAAUUUUGGACAAUGGGCGCAAGCCUGAUCCAGCCAUGCCGCGUGAGUGAAGAAGGCCUUCGGGUUGUAAAGCUCUUUCAGCCGGGAAGAAAAGGCUGCGACUAAUAAUCGCAGUUCAUGACGGUACCGGAAGAAGAAGCACCGGCUAACUACGUGCCAGCAGCCGCGGUGAUACGUAGGGUGCGAGCGUUAAUCGGAAUUACUGGGCGUAAAGGGUGCGCAGGCGGUUUUGUAAGUCAGAUGUGAAAUCCCCGGGCUUAACCUGGGAACU